Molecule: ribosomal RNA, 548 nt
Filed under: uncultured eukaryote
Lineage: Eukaryota
Description: SSU rRNA
Rfam family: Eukaryotic small subunit ribosomal RNA
Source: RNAcentral
UGUAGUCAUAUGCUUGUCUCAAAGAUUAAGCCAUGCAUGUCUAAGUAUAAGCAAUCUAUACUGUGAAACUGCGAAUGGCUCAUUAAAUCAGUUAUCGUUUAUUUGAUAGUACCUUACUACUUGGAUAACCGUGGUAAUUCUAGAGCUAAUACAUGCUAAAAACCCCGACUUUUGGAGGGGUGUAUUUAUUAGAUAAAAAACCGAUGCCCUUCGGGGCUCCUUGGUGAUUCAUAAUAACUUAACGAAUCGCAUGGCCUUGUGCCGGCGAUGGUUCAUUCAAAUUUCUGCCCUAUCAACUUUCGAUGGCUAGGUCUUGGCUAACCAUGGUUUCAACGGGUAACGGGGAAUUAGGGUUCUAUUCCGGAGAGUGAGCCUGAGAAACGGCUAACACAUCCAAGGAAGGCAGCAGGCGCGCAAAUUACCCAAUCCCGACACGGGGAGGUAGUGACAAUAAAUACUGAUCCAGGGCUCUUUUGGGUCUUGGAAUUGGAAUGAGUACAAUUUAAAUCCCUUAACGAGGAACAAUUGGAGGGCAAGUCUGGUAAUCG